RNAcentral lists this ribosomal RNA (253 nucleotides) under uncultured bacterium. Its description in RNAcentral is "partial 16S ribosomal RNA". It matches the Rfam family "Bacterial small subunit ribosomal RNA", at positions 524 to 776 of the family's 1533-position model. The record is from RNAcentral.
UACGUAGGGUGCAAGCGUUGUCCGGAUUUAUUGGGUUUAAAGGGUACGUAGGCUGGUUAAUAAGUCUUGGGUGAAAGCUUACAGCUCAACUGUAAGACUGCCUGAGAUACUGUUAAUCUUGAGUGUACUUGAGGCUACUGGAAUUGGUAGUGUAGCGGUGAAAUGCAUAGAUACUACCAGGAACACCAAUUGCGAAGGCAGGUAGCUUGGGUACAACUGACGCUGAUGUACGAAAGUGUGGGGAGCGAACAGG